Molecule: ribosomal RNA, 492 nt
Filed under: Triticum aestivum (bread wheat)
Lineage: Eukaryota; Viridiplantae; Streptophyta; Magnoliopsida; Poales; Poaceae
Description: partial small subunit ribosomal RNA
Source: RNAcentral
AUGAACCCCACCUCGGCGCCAGGUCCUGACGGCCUCCCGGUUAAGUUCUUCCAGACCUUCUGGAACGUGAUUAAACCUGAGGUCAUGGCCAUCUUCGAAGAGUUCUACGUUGGGUCCAUUGACCUCGGUCGCCUAAACUUUGGGAUAAUCUCCCUCAUCCCCAAGGUGCCUGGCGCGUCCGACAUUCGCCAGUUUCGCCCGAUCACGGUUAUCAACGUGAUCUUCCAGAUUCUUGCAAAAGGGUACGCCAAUAGGGUGACCCUUCUUGCAGAUCGCAUUACUUACCCCAACCAGUCCGCCUUCAUCCGGGGCCGGUAUAUACUAGAUGGGGUCCUUGUCCUUCAUGAAGUACUCCAUGAGGUCCGCGCCAAACACCUCAAGGCGGUCUUCUUGAAGAUUGAUUUCCAUAAGGCCUAUGAUACUGUUAGUUGGUCCUUCCUUUGGGAAGUGUUACUCCGGAAGGGCUUCAACGAUCGUUGGAUCACCAGAGUU